Molecule: ribosomal RNA, 403 nt
Filed under: bacterium
Lineage: Bacteria
Description: partial 16S ribosomal RNA
Rfam family: Bacterial small subunit ribosomal RNA
Source: RNAcentral
UGGGGAAUAUUGCACAAUGGGGGAAAACCUGAUGCAGCGACGCCGCGUGAACGAAGAAGGUAUUCGUAUCGUAAAGUUCUGUCCUAUGGGAAGAUAAUGACAGUACCAUAGAAGAAAGCCACGGCUAAAUCCGUGCCAGCAGCCGCGGUAAUACGUAUGGAGCGAGGGUUGUCCGGAAUUAUUGGGCGUAAAGGGUACGCAGGCGGUUUAAUAAGUCGAAUGUUAAAGAUCGGGGCUCAACCCCGCACAGCAUUGGAAACUGAUAAACUUGAGUAGUGGAGAGGAAAGUGGAAUUCCUAGUGUAGUGGUGAAAUACAUAGAUAUGAGGAGGAAUACCAGUAGCGAAGGCGACUUUCUGGACACAAACUGACGCUGAGGUACGAAAGCGUGGUGAGCAAACAGG